AACCAUAGAAACCUGCGGAGUACCUGCGGAAGGAUCAUUACAGAGUUGCAAAACUCCCUAAACCAUUGUGAACGUUACCUAAACCGUUGCUUCGGCGGGCGGCCCGGGUCCUUCCCGGCGCCCCUCGGCCCUCGCGGGCGCCCGCCGGAGGUAAACCAAACUAUUGCAUUGUAUGGCCUCUCUGAGUCUUCUGUACUGAAUAAGUCAAAACUUUUAACAAUGGAUCUCAGAUCGGAAGAG
Molecule: unclassified non-coding RNA, 240 nt
Filed under: soil metagenome
Description: partial contains 5.8S ribosomal RNA, internal transcribed spacer 2, and large subunit ribosomal RNA
Source: RNAcentral